This is a long non-coding RNA of Topomyia yanbarensis, 1992 nucleotides long. RefSeq lists it as uncharacterized. NCBI's taxonomy places the organism in Eukaryota, Metazoa, Arthropoda, Insecta, Diptera, Culicidae. The transcript has 3 exons. The record is from RefSeq and is a predicted model, not a curated record.
CUUGAACUUAACUUUUAUUCACAAGUAUUUGUGUCGUGUGGGUGUGAGGUGUAAUUUACAUUUGUUCUAAUGUGGCGUGUGCUACUGCUAUCACUCAACGUACCGUACUUUUACUGCUUCUGUUGAAUUGCGUUGCGACGCUGACGAUGCCGACGGGCGAGAUCCCCUCGCGGACGUCGGCGAAACUGGCCGGAUGAAGGCCCCGGUACCGGUACGAUGGUGAUCCUGAUGCAGCGGGUGGAUGGACCAGCGGGCGUUGCUGGCUUGAAUGCAGGCAGGCGUCUUCCCUCCUUGGCGAGCAUCGGCGUGACCGCGGCUAACCACAAUGGCCAACGCCGAGAGGGGACCCUCCUUUGCAAUUAGGGCCUUUGCCCGAGGGUGUGAAUUGUUGGCGCGCAGCGCCAGAUGACGAACGACGAUCCUUUACGGAUUAGGCGCGGAAUCCUCCCGGAUUCGCGAGCCGAACCGUGUGCUGAACGACUUGAUGCGGCGCUAAGAGGCAGUAAGAGGCACUAAGAGGUCCUGAACCAGCUGUAAACGUUAUAACACACUUCCCACCCCAAAGGGGGGGGGGGGGGUAUACACUUAACUUCACCGGAUAAAAUAUACUUCAGCACACGGACGCCUGAUAGAAAAGAGACCAGAGUUUGAAACUGCUGGCCCUUUUAUAAUAAUUUUGAGAUGCAUUUCCCUCCAAUUUUUAUCCCAAAACCAUUUUUAAAACUCCAGCAUCGCGCGUCUCCAGGCUGGGUGGUUCAGCUACCCACCGAGACAAGCUGACAGUUUGCAGCGGUACGCACCCUUUCACUACCCUGCUUACUGUUGUUGUGUAAAUUAGUACAAAAAACGUGAAGGUUCUAAAGACAAACAAAUAAUAUUUACAACAAAAACCUAAGCAAUGGAACCAACGGUUACACUAUCCACUACUCCGGUGAAAAAAUGUGAAAGCACGAAGUGAUUUAACAUUUUUUUUUAUCAAAUGCUUCCUUGAAAUCAUCUUCGGCUCAAAUUGAUUCGUGAAUAGGCAACCCACAAUUCUACAAACAAUAUUUACAACAUAUUUACAACGCGCGAAACCAUAAUUAAACUUUACAAACAUAUUAAAAUAAUAAAUAAACAAUUUAAAAAUUCAAACAUAAUAUGUACAAAUCAAAUUUAUAUAUACAAAACAACUAUCCAAACAAAAUACUACAUUUUAAAUAAUUGGACGAACUAUUUACAACAGUUAGCAACAAAAUAGUAUACAACCCUAUUUACAUGUAUGUACAACACUUUUAGAUCACUUUCGAUUCCCACGGCAAACCCUCAGGCGGGCAAGUGUACCGGCGGGCAACCUGACGUUUCUCACGUCAGUUACAAAACGUCACACCAAUGUCAUUGGAGCAUAUCGUUAUGCUCAAUGUUUAUAUGGUGAUGAAAGUGCUAAAAGUGUAAUUUCAGUUCAAUAAUCGUUGAAAUCGGCCAAAUUUUCAACGAAAAUCGAGGUAAGUGAUAAAUUAUCAAUGAACAUAUCGAAACUUAGCCUUCGACAGCGGUUCAUUGUUAAAAAAUUGUCUCUUUUAGGACAUAAACAGUGGUGGUAUUUUGCUGCCAGGAUGCAAUCUUUCUGCGAAAGAUUGACCUGCAGUAACCGCCAAAUCUUCCCGGGAUCAACCAUGAAGCCAUCUUGACUUGCAAGAUGCACUACAGAGAUGGUCAAUAUCACCAAGUGGGCCAUCCCCUCAUCGCAUCUCCACCGUCGGCGCACAGAUGAAGGGAAAAACUAUUAACCCCUUCAUCAUCCCCGAAUCGGCCAGUGCGACUAUGGAUGCCCAUGAUGGAAUGGAAAAGUACCUAUGACUCAUCCAAACCAACCAGAACACAAGCGGAUUACAGGAUCUGAUAAGUCGACUCCAGAGUAAAAAUGGAAGUGUUAUCCGUAACCUCUGGCAAAAGCCAACACCUGGAUCCUGCCCUUCAUUUCUGUCGGUCUGGCCUGAUCAGCCAUUAAAG